Molecule: non-coding RNA, 162 nt
Filed under: uncultured Lachnospira sp.
Lineage: Bacteria; Bacillati; Bacillota; Clostridia; Lachnospirales; Lachnospiraceae
Source: RNAcentral
UUGGGAGAAAAUUAGAAAAUCUUAAUAUGCCGUUAGAUAUCUAGUGUUGAGCUGCCAUGGAGGGCAGCUCAAGUCUUAUUGUGCCACGGAUGGCACAUAUAAGACGUACACGACAAAGAUAUAAGUAUUACACGGCAUAUUUAGAUUUUCUUAUUUUCGGAC